CCUGGUAAAGCCUCUGCGGUGGAGGCGCGUGUUUGUGGAGCACGAUGGCUCAGUUCGAAUCUGAGUGCCAGGACCA
This 76-nucleotide transfer RNA is filed under the name Brevundimonas phage vB_BpoS-Bambus. Its description in RNAcentral is "tRNA-His". It matches the Rfam family "tRNA". Rfam says of the family: Transfer RNA (tRNA) molecules are approximately 80 nucleotides in length. Their secondary structure includes four short double-helical elements and three loops (D, anti-codon, and T loops). The record is from RNAcentral. RNAcentral also lists the same sequence under 4 other names. Lineage: Duplodnaviria; Heunggongvirae; Uroviricota; Caudoviricetes.